GACGAACGCUGGCGGCGUGCUUAACACAUGCAAGUCGAACGGAAAGGCCCCUUUUGGGGUACUCGAGUGGCGAGCGGGUGAGUAACACGUGCGUAACCUACCCUUGACUUCGGGAUAACUUCAGUAAACUGAGGCUAAUACCGGCCAGGAAUCCUUGCUGCAUGGUGGGGGUUGGAAAGCUUCGGCGGUUUUGGAUGGACUGGCGGCUUGUCUGCUGGUUGGUGGGGUAGUGGCUUACCAAGGCUUUGACGGGUAGCUGGCCUGGGAGGGCGACCGGCCACAUGGGGAUGGAGAUACGGCCCAGACCCCUAGGGGAGGAAGCAGUGGGGAAUAUUGCACAAUGGGCGGAGGCUGAAGGCAGCAACGCCGGGGGGGGGAUGACGGCCUUCGGGUUGUAAACCGCUUUCAGCAGGAGGGAAGCUGUUGUGACGGUACCUGCAGAAGAAGCACCGGCUAACUACGG
RNAcentral lists this ribosomal RNA (463 nucleotides) under uncultured bacterium. Its description in RNAcentral is "partial 16S ribosomal RNA". It matches the Rfam family "Bacterial small subunit ribosomal RNA", at positions 28 to 506 of the family's 1533-position model. The record is from RNAcentral.